RNAcentral lists this ribosomal RNA (463 nucleotides) under uncultured bacterium. Its description in RNAcentral is "bacterial SSU rRNA". It matches the Rfam family "Bacterial small subunit ribosomal RNA", at positions 28 to 490 of the family's 1533-position model. The record is from RNAcentral.
GACGAACGCUGGCGGCGUGCCUAACACAUGCAAGUCAACUUGACUGAAGGAGCAAUCUGACAGUAGAGUGGCGCAAGGGUGCGUAACGCGUAAGUAACUUGCCCAAGGUAAGGAAUAACGUCGAGAAAUCGGCGCUAAUACCUCAUAAUGCAGCGGAUCCGCAUGGAUAUGUUGUUAAAGGUUUACCGCCUUGGGAUAGGCUUGCGUCUGAUUAGCUAGUUGGUGUGGUAACGGCACACCAAGGCUACGAUCAGUAACUGGUCUGAGAGGAUGAUCAGUCACACUGGAACUGAGACACGGUCCAGACUCCUACGGGAGGCAGCAGUGAGGAAUAUUGGGCAAUGCUCGAAAGAGUGACCCAGCAACGCCGCGUGGAGGAUGAAGGUAUUCUAUAUCGUAAACUCCUGUGAGAGCAGACGAAAGACAGAUUAUUAAUACUGGAUGACUGUAUGCUCAGAGGAAG